AACGAACGCUGGCGGCAUGCCUAACACAUGCAAGUCGAACGAGACGUCCGGGCCUUUUGGCGCACCGGGGCGUGCCGCGUGGUGAGCUGCCCUUAGGUACGGAAUACUUCACUGUGGGGUGUGCUAAGACCGGUUAAUGUCAUCGGACCAAGGAUUUUUCGCGUCGGGGUGGGCCCGCGUUGGAUUGGCUGGUUGGUAGUGUAAAAGCCUGCUAUGGCCAGGUUCCUUAGCUGGUCGGGUAGGAAGGCUAGCCACACUGGGACUGAGACACGGCCCAGACUCGUACGCAACGCAGCAGAGGAGAAUAUUGGACAAGGGGGCAAAGCGUGAUCAAGCAGUGCCGCGUAAGUGAGGAAGGCGUUAGGGUUGUAAAGCUCUUUUACCCGAGAUGAUAAUGACAGUACCGGGAGAAUAAGCUCCGGCUAACUCCGUG
Molecule: ribosomal RNA, 433 nt
Filed under: uncultured bacterium
Lineage: Bacteria
Description: partial 16S ribosomal RNA
Rfam family: Bacterial small subunit ribosomal RNA
Source: RNAcentral